Molecule: ribosomal RNA, 497 nt
Filed under: uncultured bacterium
Lineage: Bacteria
Description: partial 16S ribosomal RNA
Rfam family: Bacterial small subunit ribosomal RNA
Source: RNAcentral
GAUGAACGCUGGCGGCGUGCCUAACACAUGCAAGUCGAGCGAACAGAUGAGGAUCUUGCUUCUCUUACGUUAGGGGCGGAUGGGUGAGUAACACGUAGAUAACCUGCAUUUAAGACUGGGAUAACUUCGCGAAACCGAAGCUCAUACCGGAUAAUAUAUUGAACCGUAUGGUUCAAUAGUGAAAGACGGUUUGGCUGUCCCUUAUACAUGGAUCCUCGCCGCAUUAGUUAGUUGCUAGGGUAAAGGCUUACCAAGGCGACGAUGAGUAGCCGACCUGAGAGGAUGAUCAGGCACACUGGAACUGAGACACGGUCCAGACUCCUACGGGAGGCAGCAGUAGGGAAUAUUGCGCAAUGGGCGAAAGCCUGACGGAGCCAGGCCGCGUGAGUGAAGAAGGUCUUCGGAUCGUAAAACUCUGUUAUUAGGGAGGAACAGCUGUAUGAUUAACUCUGGCCGUCUUGACGUUACCUACACAGUAAGCCCCGGCUAACUACGUG